This is a long non-coding RNA of Esox lucius (northern pike), 1083 nucleotides long. The record is from Ensembl. Lineage: Eukaryota; Metazoa; Chordata; Actinopteri; Esociformes; Esocidae.
AGGAAGAUGUUUUCCUAUUCUUGAUUGAUAUAGGAUUUCAGCUGCUAAAGAGUUCAGUGUCUCCUAUGUCGUGUUUUUAGUUUCAUAAUGCGCCAAAUGUUUUCAAUGGGUGACAGGUCUGGACUGCAGGCAGACCAGUUAAUUAAGCACCCGGACACUUUUACUACUGAGCCAUGCUGUUGUAAUAUGUACAGAAUGUGGUGUCGCAUUGUCUUGCUGAAAUAAGCAAGGUCUUCUUUUCCACUUCACGUCAAUCCAUUUUAAAUGAGCUUGGGCCCAAUGAAGGCGACAGUGUUUCUGGAUCUUGUUUAUAUAUGCUUUUUUUCUUUGCAUUUUUUUUAUGUUGCUGUCUUUUGUUUGCAUUGCAAAUGUUGUUGUGUUGUGCACCCGUGGGCCACCGUAGUUCACCACUCUGUGAAAGACUGCGCAGGCAAAUAGUGCAACAACUUAAGAAUAACGUUUCUCAACCUAAAAUUGCAAAGAGUUUGGGGAUCUCAUCAUCUACAACACAAAACAUCAUUAAAAGAGAAAUCUCUGUACACGAAAACCAAUAUUGGAUGGCUGUGAUCUUUGGGCCCUAAAGUGUCAUUAAAAACAGACAUAAUUCUGUAGUGGACAACACUGCAUGGGCUCAGAAACACAUCCAAAAUCCAUUGUCUGUGAGCAUACUGUAGUAUGUCGCUGCAUCCACAAAUGCAAAUUAGAACUUUUUAAAAACAUGCAAAGAAAAAAACAUAUAUAAACAAGAUCCAGAAACACCGUCGCGUUCUCUGGGCCCAAGCUCAUUUAAGAUGGACUGAGGUGAUGUGGAAAACUACAACAGAACACAACCGCAUCAGCCCAAAACCCACCAACAUUUGCAGAAAUGCAGCAUUUCAAAUUACUCACAAUUGAAGUGCUCCAGACCACUAGGUGACCGAACCCCCCUGCCCCUACAUAGGAAGACGAACAAAGCGAGAAAUGUUCGCUAACAAUGAUGGACUGUGCAGUUUCUGAUCCAAUCUAGACGCAUGAUUACUGUGCAGGCCAGAAUUCCGCAGCCCUGGAUAUGGCCUUAAUAUUGGUGAAUUAGGAGCAAGCAGG